GGAGAGUUAAGGGAGGGUAGCAGUUGCUGAGAGAGCAUCCCCGUAGCUAUAAUGCUACAUUAAAACAAGCGACAAGGUAGCUUUUAAAAAUCUCCUGACAGUGCUGAAACAGAAAGUUUGCUCUAAAACCUUGUCCAACAUUAUUAGUCAAAAGAAGCUGCUCAACAAAGAACAAGUUCCAGUCUCUGUGAAGGCAGCAGAAGUCUUGCAUCAUUUUCUAUUGACUGCAGCUGUUACAGAAGAUUUCCAUUUGCAGAAUUAAGAUAAAUUUUGGGCCUACAUGACAAGACCACAUUUUAAUGACAUCUUUCCCCAGAUCAUGGAACCACAGAAUAUCCAAUAUCCUGAGUUGGAAGGGAUCCACAAGGAUCAUUGAGGUCUACAAGGAGACUUCAGAUGACUUCUGGGUAACCAUAACAGUUCAUGAAUUCUUACACCUCCAUAAACAUGGAGAUACACAUUUGUAUGAAUGCAGUGCAUUGAAUGCAUCAAGUACUUCACAAAGGAAGCAGAUCUUGCUUCAGCUUAUUUAUUAGGGAGCUAACAAAACAUUGUGACAGAGAAUUUAUUACAACACAGAGAGUGAAAAUGGGUAAGGACCUGAUCCCGAAAAUCACUGAACACCUGAAAGGCCAUGUGGAAAUAAUGGAAUCUGUGGGAAAUAUGAAAUGCUUUGUAAAAGCUACACUUAAAGCAUUUCAGUCACCGUGAUGUUGCCCAUGGGUCUAAGUACAUACAGCAGUUACAGUCACUUCCAUUGGCUCUAAAUUAUCAUCCUUUGGCUUCUAAGAUUAAAUAGGAUGGUCAAGUUUUGUGCAAACAUUACAUUCUCAACUGGACAGGAUUUCUGUCUUUCUUCAGAUGCAUUCUGAUAAAUCUGCCAGUGUUUGUCUCUGUAAUAGCAUGCCAGUAAAGAAAGAGGAGGUGUAGUAUUUUAGACCUUGAUAUUCCUUUUGUCAGCUCUUCUAUUGGAAGUUUGGUCAAAUGUUAACUACUAUGAGCCAUUGAAGUGCCAAUAAGGAGAAAAAACUGAGAAAAGCGUUUUGGCUCCAGAACCAAGUCUGUGGCAUCUUUCUUUUGUGACAAGUCUGAUUCAAAGCUUGUAAACAGCCUACACAUUUGUAAAAUUAGGUAACAAGUUAGAAAGAAAAAGAAACUCACAAAUGUUUCACACUUCUGUCACGUCUGCAUUUAUUUUCCCCCUUAGUGUAGAUUUUCAGAGCUGGCAGAACACAGUGUAGGCACCUUAGCAAACUGCCACAAGGCAGUGCUGGGAAAACCUGAAUACAGAUGGAAUAAAAAGAAACAGAUCUAGUGUACCA
This 1322-nucleotide long non-coding RNA is filed under the name Coturnix japonica (Japanese quail). RNAcentral describes it as "lncRNA (ENSCJPG00005004875.1)". The record is from RNAcentral. Lineage: Eukaryota; Metazoa; Chordata; Aves; Galliformes; Phasianidae.